AGUCCUAUAACGAGCGCAACCCCUAUGCUUAGUUGCCAGCACGUAAUGGUGGGAACUCUAAGCAGACUGCCUGCGAAAGCAGUGAGGAAGGAGGGGAUGAGGUCAAGUCAUCAUGGCUCUUACGUCUAGGGCUACACACGUGCUACAAUGGCGUGUACAACGGGUCGCUACCUGGUAACGGGAUGCCAAUCCCUAAAAGCACGUCUCAGUUCGGAUUGAGGUCCGCAAUUCGACCUCAUGAAGCUGGAAUCGCUAGUAAUCGCGCAUCAGAAUGGCGCGGUGAAUACGUUCUCGGACCUU
RNAcentral lists this ribosomal RNA (300 nucleotides) under uncultured bacterium. RNAcentral's name for it is "bacterial SSU rRNA". It matches the Rfam family "Bacterial small subunit ribosomal RNA", at positions 1083 to 1382 of the family's 1533-position model. The record is from RNAcentral.